CGCGGCCUAUCAGCUUGUUGGUGAGGUAAUGGCUCACCAAGGCUUCGACGGGUAGCCGGCCUGAGAGGGCGACCGGCCACACUGGGACUGAGACACGGUCCAGACUCCUACGGGAGGCAGCAGCGGGGAAUCUUGCGCAAUGGGCGAAAGCCUGACGCAGCGACGCCGCGUGGGGGAUGAAGGCCUUCGGGUUGUAAACCCCUUUCAGGAGGGAAGAAAAUGACGGUACCUCCAGAAGAAGCCCCGGCCAACUACGUGCCAGCAGCCGCGGUAAUACGUAGGGGACGAGCGUUGUCCGGAUUUAUUGGGCGUAAAGGGCUCGUAGGCGGCUUGACAAGUCGGCCGUGAAAACCCAGGGCUCAACCCUGGGAGGCCGGUCGAUACUGUCAUGGCUAGGGUCCGGUAGAGGGGAAUGGAAUUCCCGGUGUAGCGGUGAAAUGCGCAGAUAUCGGGAGGAACACCAGUAGCGAAGGCGGUUCCCUGGGCCGGCACCGACGCUGAGGAGCGAAAGCGUGGGGAGCAAACAGGAUUAGAUACCCUGGUAGUCCACGCCGUAAACGUUGGGUACUAGGCGUGGCGUCUUAUCAACGGAUGCCGUGCUCGAAGCUAACGCGUUAAGUACCCCGCCUGGGGAGUACGG
RNAcentral lists this ribosomal RNA (640 nucleotides) under uncultured bacterium. Its description in RNAcentral is "bacterial SSU rRNA". It matches the Rfam family "Bacterial small subunit ribosomal RNA", at positions 232 to 885 of the family's 1533-position model. The record is from RNAcentral.